Long non-coding RNA from Elaeis guineensis (African oil palm), 1687 nucleotides. RefSeq lists it as uncharacterized. The record is from RefSeq and is a predicted model, not a curated record. Lineage: Eukaryota; Viridiplantae; Streptophyta; Magnoliopsida; Arecales; Arecaceae.
AGUAGACGCUCUCAUAUUGGAACGGCUCAGGUCGGAGACUACUCUCUCCCGGAAGACGAGUUCCCAAAAACCGGCUCAACUGUGAACGAUGAGGAGAACCGCAGAACCCAUCUCAUCUCUUCUUCUUCUCUCGUGCCUCCUUCCUUCCGCCCUCGCAGGUCCCGCCAGGACCCUUAAUGGACUUCUGUUUAUAAGUUUCAUGGCCCUGGUGAUAGGGUGCACGAUUGCAGGUCGCGUGGAGUUGGAAGUUUCAGGACAUCGUCUCCCAAAAAGGCGAUGGCGGACUCAAAAGAAACUAGAACGCCGGCAAUGGUUGGAUGGUCGGGAUCCAGGAAAGCAGGAUGCCGCCUUCAUAACUCUCAACUCUGGUCCCUCCAACUCUCUCUCUCUCUCUCUCUCUCUUGUUUCUUCUUAUCUCUCCAUAACGACGUCAGGCAAUAGUAUUAUUUCUCUUGAGACGUAUCUGGCGGCUGUUUCGUCCUGGUGGAUUGGAUCCAAUUUUCCCCUCUCGUGAAGUACUUUAGAUAUAGCAAGGAUGGUAGGAACAAACAAUAUCUUCUGGUGCUCGCUGUUCUAGUAACAACCAAGUAACUGAAUUUCCAGCCGACCUGCAGCUUGUUACAGCUGGUACUUCUCAUCUAGAGCCAUAUAAUGAUGAUGAUAAGAAACACAAAUCCUCUGAGCAAAGUUGAAGCUCUUCAGUUCAAGUUCUUGCAUCUUGUCCAUCAGAUAAAGCGGUCACCAGAAAAUCUUCUAGUUGCACAGUUGUUAUGGAGGUUGCGACUUGCAAGCUUGAUAUGAGAUGGUGAGUCAAAUGUGAAGAGACCAUGUCUGAAGAUCUAUAAAACGAAGGCUAUGGCAGUAGAGCAAGUGUUUGCUGGUUGACCCACUCUGGAGUACUCAUUUAAGAUUCUUGUUAUGGGAAGAACUGAUGUAGGCAAGAAUGCAACCGUAGGUUUGAUUUUUGAUGAAGCAAAGGGACCAACUAAUGCAUUCGAACGUGCCUCUUAUCAUAUCCGAGAAGUUGUUGGGACUAUUAAUAGACACAUUUGGCUUUCACCUGCACAUCAUAACCACUGUCGAAACAGAAAACUUGUGCUUGCAAUGAGAAGGUUUAUAAAAAGGUAUCCACCAGAUGUUGUUCUAUUUUUGGAUGCUUGAUGCCAUCAAUAAGGGCUACAGUGAUUACCCAUUACUGAAGCUUAUAACUGAUGUUUUUCGGUUCUUCUAUCUGGUUCAACAGCAUACUUGUCAUGACUCCUUUGUCGCCACCUUCUGAAGGACCUCACAGUUACCCUGUCAGCUUUGAAACAUCUGUUCACCAGUGUACAUAUCUGGUACAGCAGUACACACAUCAGGCAGUUUCCAACAUGCAGCUUGAGAUCCCCAUUCCUUUUGGUGGAGAACCAUCUGAUGUAUAUGACAAAUAUAGAAGGUGAGAAGGUUCUAUAGAAUGGCUAGGUUUGGAAGUCUUAGUUUCUGUUACUGUGCAUAGCCGCUAAGGUAUUGGGGGAUGUUAUAUCUGAGUUCCUUCUCUCAGCGGGCAAUUAAACAGAUAAAUCCAUCUGUUAAUUGUUGACUUUUAUCAAUUUUUAAAUCUUUAAAGGCAGUAUUGUUGCCAGACGAUUAUAUUCUUGUGAGAUUUCUCAUUUGAGUGGAAUCAAUUAAGGAGGUGUUUGAUUGGGGG